This 2870-nucleotide ribosomal RNA is filed under the name Escherichia coli. Its description in RNAcentral is "bacterial LSU rRNA". It matches the Rfam family "Bacterial large subunit ribosomal RNA". Lineage: Bacteria; Pseudomonadati; Pseudomonadota; Gammaproteobacteria; Enterobacterales; Enterobacteriaceae. The record is from RNAcentral.
GGCAGUCAGAGGCGAUGAAGGACGUGCUAAUCUGCGAUAAGCGUCGGUAAGGUGAUAUGAACCGUUAUAACCGGCGAUUUCCGAAUGGGGAAACCCAGUGUGAUUCGUCACACUAUCAUUAACUGAAUCCAUAGGUUAAUGAGGCGAACCGGGGGAACUGAAACAUCUAAGUACCCCGAGGAAAAGAAAUCAACCGAGAUUCCCCCAGUAGCGGCGAGCGAACGGGGAGGAGCCCAGAGCCUGAAUCAGUGUGUGUGUUAGUGGAAGCGUCUGGAAAGGCGCGCGAUACAGGGUGACAGCCCCGUACACAAAAAUACACAUGCUGUGAGCUCGAUGAGUAGGGCGGGACACGUGGUAUCCUGUCUGAAUAUGGGGGGACCAUCCUCCAAGGCUAAAUACUCCUGACUGACCGAUAGUGAACCAGUACCGUGAGGGAAAGGCGAAAAGAACCCCGGCGAGGGGAGUGAAAAAGAACCUGAAACCGUGUACGUACAAGCAGUGGGAGCACAGAGCAAUCUGUGUGACUGCGUACCUUUUGUAUAAUGGGUCAGCGACUUAUAUUCUGUAGCAAGGUUAACCGAAUAGGGGAGCCGAAGGGAAACCGAGUCUUAACUGGGCGUUAAGUUGCAGGGUAUAGACCCGAAACCCGGUGAUCUAGCCAUGGGCAGGUUGAAGGUUGGGUAACACUAACUGGAGGACCGAACCGACUAAUGUUGAAAAAUUAGCGGAUGACUUGUGGCUGGGGGUGAAAGGCCAAUCAAACCGGGAGAUAGCUGGUUCUCCCCGAAAGCUAUUUAGGUAGCGCCUCGUGAAUUCAUCUCCGGGGGUAGAGCACUGUUUCGGCAAGGGGGUCAUCCCGACUUACCAACCCGAUGCAAACUGCGAAUACCGGAGAAUGUUAUCACGGGAGACACACGGCGGGUGCUAACGUCCGUCGUGAAGAGGGAAACAACCCAGACCGCCAGCUAAGGUCCCAAAGUCAUGGUUAAGUGGGAAACGAUGUGGGAAGGCCCAGACAGCCAGGAUGUUGGCUUAGAAGCAGCCAUCAUUUAAAGAAAGCGUAAUAGCUCACUGGUCGAGUCGGCCUGCGCGGAAGAUGUAACGGGGCUAAACCAUGCACCGAAGCUGCGGCAGCGACGCUUAUGCGUUGUUGGGUAGGGGAGCGUUCUGUAAGCCUGCGAAGGUGUGCUGUGAGGCAUGCUGGAGGUAUCAGAAGUGCGAAUGCUGACAUAAGUAACGAUAAAGCGGGUGAAAAGCCCGCUCGCCGGAAGACCAAGGGUUCCUGUCCAACGUUAAUCGGGGCAGGGUGAGUCGACCCCUAAGGCGAGGCCGAAAGGCGUAGUCGAUGGGAAACAGGUUAAUAUUCCUGUACUUGGUGUUACUGCGAAGGGGGGACGGAGAAGGCUAUGUUGGCCGGGCGACGGUUGUCCCGGUUUAAGCGUGUAGGCUGGUUUUCCAGGCAAAUCCGGAAAAUCAAGGCUGAGGCGUGAUGACGAGGCACUACGGUGCUGAAGCAACAAAUGCCCUGCUUCCAGGAAAAGCCUCUAAGCAUCAGGUAACAUCAAAUCGUACCCCAAACCGACACAGGUGGUCAGGUAGAGAAUACCAAGGCGCUUGAGAGAACUCGGGUGAAGGAACUAGGCAAAAUGGUGCCGUAACUUCGGGAGAAGGCACGCUGAUAUGUAGGUGAAGCGACUUGCUCGUGGAGCUGAAAUCAGUCGAAGAUACCAGCUGGCUGCAACUGUUUAUUAAAAACACAGCACUGUGCAAACACGAAAGUGGACGUAUACGGUGUGACGCCUGCCCGGUGCCGGAAGGUUAAUUGAUGGGGUCAGCGCAAGCGAAGCUCUUGAUCGAAGCCCCGGUAAACGGCGGCCGUAACUAUAACGGUCCUAAGGUAGCGAAAUUCCUUGUCGGGUAAGUUCCGACCUGCACGAAUGGCGUAAUGAUGGCCAGGCUGUCUCCACCCGAGACUCAGUGAAAUUGAACUCGCUGUGAAGAUGCAGUGUACCCGCGGCAAGACGGAAAGACCCCGUGAACCUUUACUAUAGCUUGACACUGAACAUUGAGCCUUGAUGUGUAGGAUAGGUGGGAGGCUUUGAAGUGUGGACGCCAGUCUGCAUGGAGCCGACCUUGAAAUACCACCCUUUAAUGUUUGAUGUUCUAACGUGGACCCGUAAUCCGGGUUGCGGACAGUGUCUGGUGGGUAGUUUGACUGGGGCGGUCUCCUCCUAAAGAGUAACGGAGGAGCACGAAGGUUGGCUAAUCCUGGUCGGACAUCAGGAGGUUAGUGCAAUGGCAUAAGCCAGCUUGACUGCGAGCGUGACGGCGCGAGCAGGUGCGAAAGCAGGUCAUAGUGAUCCGGUGGUUCUGAAUGGAAGGGCCAUCGCUCAACGGAUAAAAGGUACUCCGGGGAUAACAGGCUGAUACCGCCCAAGAGUUCAUAUCGACGGCGGUGUUUGGCACCUCGAUGUCGGCUCAUCACAUCCUGGGGCUGAAGUAGGUCCCAAGGGUAUGGCUGUUCGCCAUUUAAAGUGGUACGCGAGCUGGGUUUAGAACGUCGUGAGACAGUUCGGUCCCUAUCUGCCGUGGGCGCUGGAGAACUGAGGGGGGCUGCUCCUAGUACGAGAGGACCGGAGUGGACGCAUCACUGGUGUUCGGGUUGUCAUGCCAAUGGCACUGCCCGGUAGCUAAAUGCGGAAGAGAUAAGUGCUGAAAGCAUCUAAGCACGAAACUUGCCCCGAGAUGAGUUCUCCCUGACUCCUUGAGAGUCCUGAAGGAACGUUGAAGACGACGACGUUGAUAGGCCGGGUGUGUAAGCGCAGCGAUGCGUUGAGCUAACCGGUACUAAUGAACCGUGAGGCUUAACC